Molecule: RNA transcript, 1595 nt
Organism: Sapajus apella (tufted capuchin)
Lineage: Eukaryota; Metazoa; Chordata; Mammalia; Primates; Cebidae
Gene name: peflin pseudogene
Exons: 1
Source: RefSeq, a predicted model, not a curated record
AUGGCCAGCUAUCCGUAAGAGCAGGGCUGCCCAGGAGCUGCAGGACAAGUGCCAGGAGCACCUCCGGGUAGCUGCUACCCUGGACCCCCCAAAUAGUGGAGGGCAGUAUGGCAGCAGGCUACCCCCAGUGGUGGUUAUGGGAGUCCUGCGCCUGGAGGACCUUAUGGACCAUCAGCUGGAGGGCCCUGCGGACAACCCAAUCCUGGGAUGUUUCCCUCUGGAACUCCAAGAGGACCACAUGGCAGUGUAGCUCCAGGGGACCCCUAUGGUCAGCCACCUCCAAAUUCCUAUGGUGCCCAGCAGCUUGGGUCUUAUGGGCAGGGUGGCGCCCCUCCCAAUGUGGAUCCUAAGGCCUGCUCCCGGUUCCAGUCAGUGGAGUCUGAUCACAGUGGCUCUCUCUCCAUGAAGGAGGUGAAACAGGCCCUGGUCAACUUCAAUUGGUCCUCAUUCAAUGAUGAGACCUGCCUUAUGAAGAUAAACAUUUUUGACAAGGCCAAGUCUGGCUGCAUCGAUGUCUACGGCUUCUCGGCCCUGUGGAAAUUCAUCCAGCAGUGGAAGACGCUCUUCCAGCAGUAUAACAGGGACCACUCAGGCUCCAUUAGCUACAGAACUGCAGCAAGCUCUGUCCCAAAUGGGCUACAACCCCAGUUCACCCAGUUUCUGGUCUCCUGCUACUGCUCACACUGCCAAUCCUCCCAUGCAGCUUGACUGCUUUAUCCAGGUGUGCACUCAGCUCCAGGUGCUGAUGGAGGCCUUUCGGGAGAAGGACACAGCUACACAAGGCAACACUCAGCUCAGCUUUGAGGACUUUGUCACCAUGACAGCUUCUCGGAUGCUAUGACCCAACCCAUCUGUGGAGAAUGCACCAGGGACCUUUCCUGGCUUCUUAAGAGUGAGAAGCAUGUGUACCUCUCUUCUUUCCCUGUCCCUCUAGAAGAACAUUCUCCCUUGCUUGAUGCAACACCGUUCUAAAAGAGGAUUGAGAGUCUUGCAUCAUAGCCACCAAACAGUAAGGACCAGAGCUGAGGCCACACAGGUAGGGUCCUGAUGGAGGAAAGGAUGGAAGUUGAAUGUCCUGAUGGCCAUAAGCAAUUGAGUGGCACAGCCUGGCACGAGGAGCAGGAGAUACUGGUCCUUGUAACGGAGUUAGUGUCCAGUCAGCUGAGCUCCACCCUCAUGCCAGUGGCGAGUGUUCAUCGGCCUGUUACUGUUAGCACCUGUGCUCCUUCACCAGGCCAUCCUGACACAUGAACCCAUUUUCUCCCAAGUGGAAUCUGACCAAGCAUGAGAGACCAUGGGACCAGCGGCUUGGAUUCCACCACACCCAUAAAUCCUUAUGUGUUAACUUCUAGCUGCCUGGGGCUGUCCCUGCUCAGGGAGCUCAGCCAAAUCUGCUCCCCAGGCAUCUUUGGCCAGGCUACUGCCCUCCGCAGCUGAGACCCCUCACUUGCCUGCCAGGCUCUGCUUGGCUUCAGAUUCCAGGGGACAGUGGUCACCUCUCCCUGCCAAUACAAUACUCUUUUUAGUUUGCAUUUUUUUUCAUUUGGGGCCAAAACUCCAGUGAAAUUCUAAGUUUCAAUAAAAGGAUCAAACUC